Molecule: ribosomal RNA, 460 nt
Filed under: uncultured bacterium
Lineage: Bacteria
Description: bacterial SSU rRNA
Rfam family: Bacterial small subunit ribosomal RNA
Source: RNAcentral
AACGAACGCUGGCGGCAUGCCUAACACAUGCAAGUCGAACGAGACCUUCGGGUCUAGUGGCGCACGGGUGCGUAACACGUGGGAAUUUGCCUCGGGGUAUGGAAUAACUCAGGGAAACUCGAGCUAAUACCAUAUAAUGUCUUCGGACCAAAGAUUUAUCGCCCUGAGAUAAGCCCGCGUAGGAUUAGCUAGUUGGUGGGGUAAAGGCUCACCAAGGCGACGAUCCUUAGCUGGUCUGAGAGGAUGAUCAGCCACACUGGGACUGAGACACGGCCCAGACUCCUACGGGAGGCAGCAGUGGGGAAUAUUGGACAAUGGGCGCAAGCCUGAUCCAGCAAUGCCGCGUGAGUGAUGAAGGCCUUAGGGUUGUAAAGCUCUUUUACCCGAGAUGAUAAUGACAGUAUCGGGAGAAUAAGCUCCGGCUAACUCCGUGCCAGCAGCCGCGGUAAAGUGACUACUG